GCCGCACUCGUGAGAUGAGGACGGCGGCUCGGCCGCACGGCUGGAGCGAGAGCGGGAAGGGAGCGGCGCGGAGCGGCUGCAUCCCCGGCCCCGUCGCCCCCAGCGCCACUGAUCCCCCGGACCGGGCUUCCGCGCCGGGACUGGCCGGGGAUGCGCGAGUGUGAAUGCAACCAGUCCUCUCUGAACCCCUAGGAACCAACCCCUGCAGUCUUGGUAUGGAAAGGCCGAGCUGUCUGUGGGUGCUGAAACAAUCUCUGUGUGUGUUAAAAGCCCACAAAUUAAGGGCUAAGGUCAUGACACCACUCCUCCAGUGUCAUGCAAGCAGUAGCAAAAGAGACGGCUGCUUUGUGUUCAAGCCAAGGGAGUGAGCAGAUGCAGAUAGUUCCCUACAGGAGACUUGGUAUGGGUGGCAACAGAGAAGGGGAGCAAUGAGAAAGAGCUUGGCAGUUCAUCCACACGCUGGGUGUUUCUGAGCUGCCGAAGAGACAGAACUGAAGAAGCCCGUGCUGCUGAGCCACUCGGAGCCACUGCCCUAUGCACAAGGGAUAGAGAUGCCAUCACCCUGGUGGCAUCCCACUCAUGGUACAAUGGGCUUCAGGAAGAUGCCUCUGGGCUCUUGUGACAGUUUGAGUACAAGCCCCAGUCCCAUAUGAAGUUCGAUAGAAAUGCACUCGUCUUUGCGAAUCAAAACUUUGCAUGGACCUGUUUUACAAGGGUCUCCCACAUAUGUUCCAUCUACAUUUAGUAAGAACUAUUGUAUGUAAAUUAAAUGCCAGCGGAGUAAGGAAAACAUAUUUGUCGAAGAUUAACUAUUAUGUAAUGCAAGAAGCAUCUGCCACCCAACUGCUAGAGCUCACUAAAUAUUUCCUUAUCUCGGAGUAUUUACUUAGGAGGCAAUAACUAUCCAGUUAAAUCUAAAUUUAAUGCUUAGUUAAAUAUACUUCAUGGAAAGUGACACCAAUAUGUUUUAUACAGACAGUGACAGAGGAGGGUUCAGAGAGGGAGAGGGCAGUAAUACUGUCCCCACAACCCCAUAACACCCUGACUUGAGGUGGGACUGUACUUGGCCGUGCCUCCCAAUGACGUAGUUGCAUCACAGCAGAGUCAGAGACCCCUCUCUACUGAGACAGAAAUACGAGCAAAGCCUUCAUCUUCUCAGACAUUUAUGCAAUCCUCAUUAGAACCACUCUAGCAUAGCUAUUUAAUAAUAAUCAUCGUAAUAAACAGAGAAAUAAGGAUUAAAUUCCCCUGAGGGUCUUGCAAACCUUGGGAAAACACUGAAAUCUCUAAGUCUUAUUUGCUUUUAGAAACAUAUAGAAGUAAAAGGAAGAGGUUGCCUGGGUGUAAAAGUCCAAACAAGAAAGAAUCACACAGAUCCUAGGAGAAAGCCUCAUGAGCAAAAUAAAUAACGUGGGUUUUUUGGUGUGUGCUCCCGGAAGAAAUAACUCUCUAGACUCAUCUCCCCCUACUGGAAGCUGAUAAUGAAAGCAACAGGACUGCCUUCUGUCUUUCCUACCUUCUAAAAUGUUGAGCAAAAAUUCAGGUAAACAGUCAGACCAAGUGCAGCACGAAUGCACACGGCCACUUUUUGAUGCCAUUUACCAAUGCUCGGUAGGUGCAGAACUGCCAGUUCCGGCCUGAGGAGCCAGAAUUUUUCUAAUAUGCUAUAGUACAGGAAUGGAAUGGGCAGCAUGAGCCCAGUCCUAUCGGUACCACAUCACCCUCCUCCAUCUGCUUCUGAUGGAAAGGCAGCAGAAGCUAAAAGCAUGGACUUUGGACACAAG
Molecule: long non-coding RNA, 1784 nt
Filed under: Gallus gallus (chicken)
Lineage: Eukaryota; Metazoa; Chordata; Aves; Galliformes; Phasianidae
Source: RNAcentral